GUGAAAACUCACAGCUUAACUGUGGGCGUGCGGGCGAUACGGGCAGACUAGAGUACUGCAGGGGAGACUGGAAUUCCUGGUGUAGCGGUGGAAUGCGCAGAUAUCAGGAGGAACACCGGUGGCGAAGGCGGGUCUCUGGGCAGUAACUGACGCUGAGGAGCGAAAGCGUGGGGAGCGAACAGGAUUAGAUACCCUGGUAGUCCACGCCGUAAACGGUGGGUACUAGGUGUGGGUUUCCUUCCUUGGGAUCCGUGCCGUAGCUAACGCAUUAAGUACCCCGCCUGGGGAGUACGGCCGCAAGGCUAAAACUCAAAGGAAUUGACGGGGGCCCGCACAAGCGGCGGAGCAUGUGGAUUAAUUCGAUGCAACGCGAAGAACCUUACCUGGGUUUGACAUGCACAGGACGCCGGCAGAGAUGUCGGUUCCCUUGUGG
This 433-nucleotide ribosomal RNA is filed under the name uncultured bacterium. RNAcentral's name for it is "bacterial SSU rRNA". It matches the Rfam family "Bacterial small subunit ribosomal RNA", at positions 594 to 1024 of the family's 1533-position model. The record is from RNAcentral.